Cryptomeria japonica (Japanese cedar) is the source of this 7047-nucleotide RNA transcript. It is a transcript of the gene named endoribonuclease Dicer homolog 3a, with no coding region annotated. NCBI's taxonomy places the organism in Eukaryota, Viridiplantae, Streptophyta, Pinopsida, Cupressales, Cupressaceae. The transcript is spliced from 26 exons. The record is from RefSeq and is a predicted model, not a curated record.
AAACAAAAAUCCCCAAUAAUGCCCUGUCAUUUCAUUACCAGAACAGCUCUUCACAAUACCUGCAUUCCCUCUAGUUUUUCAGGUCUACACGACCCUAUAUACGGAGGUCCCGCUCCCAAAAAUAAUGUAGUUUUAAUCUUUACAAGGCGCCAGUUGGAGUGAACAGAGUGUGCUUCCUGUAAGAAAGAAAGCGUCUUUCUAAGUAUGAGAAAUUCCACAGGCGAAGUUUGACAUGUGAAGGGAAGUAUGAGAGCUGUCUUUCUAUAUCUGCUAAAGGAAUAAUUGUUAUUUAUGUUAUUCAGCAAUGUGUAAAUUGAUUGGCGAGUUGCAUGUCCACAUAAGCGUCUUGUAUGCUAUUAUUAGUUUGUGAAAAGCAAGGCGGUGACCCCUGCUUCCUGUAAUCACAGCUGAUUUAUAGUAAAUUUUCUUUAUAUUUUUAGCUGUCUUUCUUCAUAACAUAAUUGUGCCAAAGACUAAAGCAACUGUCAUGUAAAUGGUGAAGGCAAGGCUGAUUUAUAGUAAGUUUUCUUUAUAUUUUUGGCGGUCUUCAUUAGGAAACUGCGACAAGGCUAAAGCAACUGUCAUGUAAUCGGUGAAGGCAAGGGAAUUGUAAACAUACGAUCUUGUGGUUUGGUGAAGGUGAAAGGAAUUUGUAGAAGAAAAUGGAGGAAGAAAAACAGGAUCCCCUGAUGACUUAUGGUAAAAGAAAAAUGUUUGAAAUAACAAGUUUCGAGGAAGAAAUCAGUCAGAGUGAGGAUGAGGACGAGGAGGAGGCGGAGGAGGAGGAGGAGGAUGAGGAUGAGAUUGAACAGAUUUGCAGUGAUAAAGAAGCAACGCAGACUAAUAAUCCAAAUGCAAUUGCUCGACGAUAUCAGUUGGAAGUACUUCAAAAAGCCUUGGAAAAGAAUACGCUUGUUUAUUUGGAAACAGGAUGUGGUAAGACAUUAAUUGCUGUGCUUCUUAUUAAGGAAAUUGGUAAUCAGAUGAGAGCACAAAAAGAAAAAGGAAUUAUAAUUUUUCUUGCACCCACUGUUCAGUUGGUUGUCCAGCAAUACGAAGUUAUUGAAAUAAAUAUUGAUAUGAAAGUAGCAAAGUACUAUGGGGCCAAAGGUGUUGAUGGCUGGAGUGCUCAAACCUGGAAUGAUGAAAUAAACAAACAUGAGGUUCUUGUAAUGACACCUCAGAUUCUUCUUGAUGUUUUGAGACAUGGUUUUUUGCAAUUAAAAAUGGUUAAGCUAAUUAUUUUUGAUGAGUGUCAUCAUACUCAGGGAAAUCAUCCCUAUGCAAAAAUUAUGAAAGAGUUUUAUCAAACAUCGCAACUUAGACCAAAAAUAUUUGGAAUGACGGCAUCACCAGUUAUAAAAAAAGGUGUCUCUUCAAGCCAUGAUUGCAUGGAUCAAAUAGCUCAACUAGAAGGCAUUUUGGAUUCACAGGUGUAUGCCCUGGAGGAUAGGAGGGAGCUAGAAAGAUUUGUUCCUACUCCAAGUCACAAGACAAUAUACUAUAGUCCAUCUUGUUUUAACUAUGAAACUGUGAAAGUGAAGCUAACGAAGCUUUGUGAGAAGUAUGAAAUUUUCCAAGAAAGUAAAGACAACACUUUGCUGUCUAAGUUCAAGGACUACGAAGAAUUUAUAGUUAACUCGAGGAAGGAAAUUCAGAGCAUACACAGAAACAUUGAAUACUGUCUAGAGAAUCUCGGCUUGUAUUGUGCUUAUAAGGCUGUUCAAGUGUUUAUGGAAAGAUGCAAGUCUGAGAUCAAUUUUGAAAUCGAGGUUGAAGAGUUGCAUGGCAUCAAAAGAACAAAAAAUAUUUUUUUACAGGAGACAUUGCAGACCUUAAAGCAGUUUCUUCCAAAUGGAAUGGAGAAUUUUUACAGCAUGCAAGGAGUUAGAGAGGGUCUUCUGACUCAUAAAGUAUAUAUGUUUAUCCGGUCCCUUCUAUUAAAUAGGAAAUUAAAGGAAAUGCAUUGUAUUGUAUUUGUUGAAAGAGUGAUAGCAGCAGUUGUUAUCUCGAGUUUGAUCAAUGAACUUGAUUGUCUAUCAAAUAUUAGUAGUGAAUAUCUGGCCAGUGGAAAUGGUUUGCUAGAAACGAGUCGAAACAAACAGCAAAGCACUCUUGAUCAAUUUUGUUUGGGCAAGGUGAAUGUGUUGGUCACCACUAAUGUUACAGAAGAGGGCAUUGACGUCCAAGGUUGUAGCUGCAUAAUCCGAUUUGAUUUGCCAAAUACAGUCCGCAGCUACAUACAGUCUCGUGGUCGAGCUCGCAAACCUGAGUCAGAAUAUGUUGUACUUAUUGAGAGGAACAAUGAAACACAAUUAAAUUUGUUGUUUGAUAUUAUAAGGAGUGAAGAAUCAAUGAGAGAUACAUCUUUGAAUAGAAACAAUAUUUGCUAUACCCCAAAGUUUGGUAUUGCUGAUGAUGAAAAGAUGAUUCCUUAUAAUGUUUCAUCAACUGGAGCUACGGUUAACUGUGACUCUAGUAUUGAUUUAAUCUACAAAUACUGUGCAAAGUUGCCUAGUGACAAGUAUUAUUCACCUCGACCAGAAUUUAUCUUUAGGGCUCUUGAGGGGAAGGAUAAUUUGCAUAUUUGUAUUUUGAGAUUGCCACCAAGUGCUCCAUUCCAUGAGGUUGUGAGUCAUCCAAGUGUCAAACAGAAAGCAAAGCAAUUUGCAUGCUUAGAGGCAUGCAAAAGGUUGCACGAAGUUGGUGCCCUUGAUGAGCAUCUUAUUCCUGUCAUUGAAACUGGACCUGAGGAGGAAAUUGUAAACUUAAAGAUCAAAUGUUCUAGAGGUGCAGGAACAACAAAGAGGAAGGAAUUACAUAUAACAUCAAAACCAGAAGCUUUAUCUGGAUAUUGGGGUGAAAAUCACAAUGGAGUAAAAUUGCAAGUCUACAAGAUAGUUUUCACUUCACAAGGCGAUGACAAGGGAGCAUAUUCAAACUUUGCUCUAUUGCUUGAAGCAGUAUUAGAUAACGAUGUUGCAAAUGCAGAGAUUGAUCUUCAUUUGACUGCAGGGAGAGUUGUCAGAUCGAGAUUCAUACCUUGUGGAACAUUGUAUUUGGACUCAGUUCAGAUCAUGGAUGCUAAGGCUUAUCAUGAAAUACUUUUCAAUGGAGUAUUCAACAAACUGGUCCUACGAACUAGGGAAACAAAUGAACUGGUUAUUGCAAAGAGGAAUAUAUUAGAAAAUAAGAUACUGGAAGGGAUAUGGGUAUCUUCAAACAUGUAUUUUAUUUUGCCAUUGGAACUUGAGAAAAGUUAUGUUUCUCAAAGUGGAGUCAACAUUGAUUGGAAUUGCAUCCGUCAAUGUGCUGAUGUUGCUAGAUCUGUCAGAGCUAAUACAAGAAGAUUGCAUGUAGGUGAAACUAACAUGAAAAAUAUUCAUCUAGCAAGUGGUCCUUUAGUAUCUUCAGAUUUGUUAGAGAAAGCAAUAGUCACUCUUCAUACUGGGAAGAUUUACUGCAUUACUGAUAUCCUUCAUGAUAAGACUGCUGAGAGCCCAUUUCCUGAUGCAACAAAAUAUGGCAGCUAUAGUGACUACUUUGAAAAAAAGUAUGGCAAGAAGCUCAAUUUCUUGAAACAGCCACUUCUGCAGGUUAAACAAACUCAUCGACCUCAUAAUCUUCUCACUCGAUAUGGUGAAAAAUUUAAAGGUAAAGAACUUGAUUUGAAAUUGAAACCUAAUUAUAUAGAGCUUCCGGCAGAAUUAUGCCUAAAUCUAGGUGUGCCAAGCUCUGUUAUUAGAUCACUAUACUUAAUUCCUUCUGUAAUGCAUCGCAUGAGUAAUUUGAUGUUGGCAAGUCAACUACGAGAAGAAAUCCAGAAGUUCUCAAAUUGCCCUUUUAUUUCUGCAACACUUAUUAUGCAAGCAUUAACAACUAUGAGGUGCAUGGAAAGCUUCUCAUUUGAGCGUUUGGAGCUACUGGGAGAUUCAGUUCUAAAAUAUGCUGUUAGCUGUCAUCUUUUCUUGAAAUAUGAUAAAAAGCAUGAAGGACAAUUAAGUGCACACAGAUCUUUGGCAGUUUGCAAUGCCACUCUUCAUGAUCUAGCUUUAAGACGCAAUUUGCCGGGAUAUAUUAGAGAUGAACCAUUCAGUCCUAGCCGGUGGGUGGCUCCUGGUACACACUGCAAAAGGAUUGUUUCCUGUUUCUGUGAUGGAAAAAUGAUUGAAGAAUCUGUAAAGGGUAUUGUUGACAUGGAGGACAAAGUUGUCAAAGUGGGAAAAACUUGUGACAAAGGCCAUAGGUGGAUGUGCUCAAAGACAAUUGCAGACUCUGUUGAGGCACUGAUUGGAUCAUAUUUAGUUGGAGGUGGUCUUUCUGCUGCUCUUGAGUUCAUGAGCUGGUUGAACAUACCUGUAGCAUAUGAAUCUGGGUUAGUCACUAUGGCAUUUGAGCAUUCAUCUGUCCAUCCCAGUAUUCUAAGUAGCAUAAAUAUACACAUGCUUGAAUCCCAAUUGGGAUAUGUUUUCCAUAACAAAGCUUUAUUAGUAGAGGCUAUAACCCAUGCUUCACAAGAAGAUUCUGAAGGAGGAUGCUGUUACCAGAGACUGGAAUUUCUUGGAGACUCUGUAUUAGAUUUUCUUAUCACAAGGCAUCUAUUUAGAGAACACCCUGAUCUUACACCAGGUGUUUUGACGGAUUUGCGUUCUGCAGCUGUCAAUAAUGAAAGUUUUGCAUAUGUAGCUGUCAAAUAUAAUUUACAUCAGUAUCUUCGCCAUGGUUCAGCCGUGCUUCUGGGGCAAAUCACCAGAUUUGUAAGGGCUGCGCAAAAUUGUAUGGGGGCAAAAGGUUGUCCCACUUCACCUUGUGGAGUGAAAGCUCCAAAGGUGCUAGGAGAUAUAGUAGAAAGCAUUGCAGGAGCAAUACUGGUGGAUAGCAGAUUUGAUGUGGAACAUGUAUGGAAAAUAAUGAAACCUUUGUUAUCUCCUAUAGUAACACCAGAGACACUGCAUUUGCAUCCUAUAAGAGAGGUUUCUGAACUGUGCCAUCUAGAGGGCUACCGCAUUGUCUGGAAAAAAAGUGCACAGGAGGGUGAACUAUAUCUUGCGAUUCUUGAAGUUGUUCUUGAGGAUAAUGCUCUUGUUGGAAAAGGAUGUAAUAUAAGUAAAAAGUCUGCAAAGGAAGAAGCAGCCCAACAGAUAUUAAUGCAACUUAAGAAACAUGGAAUUCACCAUCCUCGGUGUAGUAAUGUGGCUUCUGAUACUAACAUUAGAGGAACUAAACAAAGUGUGGAAGAAAUCAGUAGUCUCAAAGAUAUUGCUACAACCUGCAACAAAGAAUCAGAUGCGAGUGAAAGUAUAGAGUUGGCAAGGAAGAAAUCAAAAAUUAUUAUAAAUCCAGCUGUAGAAGAGGCUGGGUGGACAAGAGAGAAAAUUACUAAAAAAGCUGUUAGUCAAUCAAAGAUUGCUGAUGCAUGUAAAAGAAAAUCAGAAUCAAGUCAAAAUCAUGAAAUUCCAGAGAAGAAAGCAAGGACUAGUAUGGCUUCAGUGAAAUCUAAAACAUCUCAAGACCCUUUUCAUGAUAAAAAGGAGGAUAUAGUGUGCAAUGAUGCAGUUGAUUUCUAUGCAAGAGAAGUUGGCAGGAAAAAGGUAUAAAAGGGAGUUGAGUGGCUCAUUUGGUGUUAUGCGGAUUAUGUUAUGUCUCUAGAGAAACCCUUGGGAUUUUGAGAUUUUUUUUAACCUUUUUAAGGACGGAAACCUUCUCGAAGAAGACUGAAUAUGGUGGUGAGAGAUCCACCCUUGCUGAUGCAGUGGGACUAGUUUAGGAUCUUAGAUUGGGCAUAAGAAUUUGCAAAUACGAUUGAUUUGCAAGCAUGCGUUUGUAUCUAUGUUUUAAUGAAGUUCAGUUGUUUGAAGUUUUUACAGAGAUAUUCAGAAAAUCAGAGUAUUGGAUUGGAUGGAGAGUUUCCAGAUUUAUGGCCAAUUGAAUAACUUGCUCAGGGUCCCUGUAUUUCAUUGAGAUUAUAGUUUUGUAAUGAUUGGUGAUAGUUUGAAUGCUAAGGCAUGGCUUUAUGGAUGUUAACUGCGUAUUUCUGGUCAGUAAUUUCCUUGUAGUUCGAUGAGGGUGUUGGUAUGUUAAAAUUACUCUUGAAAAUCACUGCCUUAGUGGGGCCUUGAAUCCAUUACAGCAUAAAAGACAAAAAAAAUCCAUGAAAGCAUCACAAAGGUCGGAAAUGGCCUUGAAAAUUGAUUAAAAAUUGUUGCUUUCAGUAGACAAACCAAUGAAAGGGAAGGGAGGGAAUCGUGGCUUAGUUGGUAUCUGAAUUUCAAGGAAUACAUCGCCUCACUUCACUGAAUGAAGGCAGUUUUACACCCUUAGACUGACGUAGCAGCUUCUUUGGUUCUUUGUCGUGAUCUUUUCCUAUUGCUGAACAUGGAGCUGGGCAUAGUAAUUGGGCAUUAAAACUGAAGACCUUGCGGGCUUGAAAGGAUUGACGAAUAAGAUACCAGGCUAAUUCAGUCGAAAGGAAGUACUAGAUAAAGCAUUCAAUGGCCAAUAACCUUCUGCAGAGAGGUGUGGAUAUUAGCAGCUGAAGUACUGGCAUUUUGGGCUUUGCAUAAGGGCAACAUCCUUGGUAAUGAUAAAUACAGGUGUUGACAAUCAUUGCUAUUGAAAGAGAGACCAGUUUGCAGAUUGAGGUGAGAGUGGUGUAACUGUUUGAAAAGGCGUCUAUGAAUCAACUAUCCAUGACUACCAAUUUUGGCGAAUGAAUCCAUGUGAUGAGGUCUGAAUUCAAGGGAACCAACUUGUUUCUUCAACCUACAGCUGGUUUUAGCUAUACACCCUGCGAAACUAUCUAGCCUGUUGAAGGCAUCGUCCAGCCCAGAGAAAGAAAUAAUCUCUUAUUUGAAGAUGUGGAGGUUGCUAGUGAAGUGCUGAGGUGUAUCAAGAUUCAGUCUGUUGUACCUCUGUAUCAGUGUGUGUUAAACUGUGCAUGCAAAGGGGAGGUCCACGCAACAACUUGUACGAUGCUUGCAAAAAAUUGAAGUGGUGUGGACCUGAAUUUCACUUGUUAGAAGGUGCAGGCAGGCCUCACGCAACCAG